GCAGAAGUAGUUCAGCCAAGGUUGGGGUCGCGGGUUCGAAUCCCGUCUUCUGCUCCA
This 57-nucleotide transfer RNA is filed under the name Staphylococcus aureus. RNAcentral describes it as "tRNA-OTHER". Lineage: Bacteria; Bacillati; Bacillota; Bacilli; Caryophanales; Staphylococcaceae. The record is from RNAcentral.